GACGUAGGGUGCGAGCGUUAAUCGGAAUUACUGGGCGUAAAGGGUGCGCAGGCGGCGUCGCAAGUCAGGCGUGAAAUCCCCGGGCUUAACCUGGGAACUGCACUUGAAACUACGAUGCUGGAGUAUGGCAGAGGGAGGUGGAAUUCCACGUGUAGCGGUGAAAUGCGUAGAGAUGUGGAGGAACACCGAUGGCGAAGGCAGCCUCCUGGGCCAAUACUGACGCUCAGACACGACAGCAUGGGGAGCGAACGGG
Molecule: ribosomal RNA, 253 nt
Filed under: uncultured bacterium
Lineage: Bacteria
Description: partial 16S ribosomal RNA
Rfam family: Bacterial small subunit ribosomal RNA
Source: RNAcentral